AGGACGGAUUCUUGAUUCAUAUCGAAGUUCUUUGUCCCCAAAAACUGUAGAAGCUUUAAUUUGCACUCAACAAUGGCUCAGGUCAACUCCCAAAAAAUACAACAUUGAAGAUAUUCUAGAGGAAAUUCAAAAACUUGAAAUAGUUGAAAAAGGUAAUUUUAUACCUUUAACUCUUUGUGAAUAUGUUUAAGUUUCUGAAUUCAUUUAAUGUUAAUAUUUUAAUUCUUUUCUUUCAGAAUAUCCCGAUGAUGUUUUGAGCAUUGAUUAGCUCAAAUGAUGGAAGCAACUUCUACUAUAUUCUUGUUGCUUGAAAUUCCGGAUGAAUUUUGUUUUAAUUUGCUAUGUGAAAGAGUGUUUUACAGGACCCUAUUAUGAUUUUGUUAUUGUAAUACAACUCUUUUUAAAGUUGGAUGAUGAAAAUGACAUUACUAUUUUCUGUUU
Long non-coding RNA from Lycium ferocissimum, 441 nucleotides. RefSeq lists it as uncharacterized. NCBI's taxonomy places the organism in Eukaryota, Viridiplantae, Streptophyta, Magnoliopsida, Solanales, Solanaceae. The transcript has 2 exons. The record is from RefSeq and is a predicted model, not a curated record.